CGACUACAGUCAGAGUUUGAUCCUGGCUCAGGACGAACGCUGGCGGCAUGCCUAACACAUGCAAGUCGAACGGAGUUAUUACGAAUGAAGCCUUCGGGCGGAUUUUGUUUUAACUUAGUGGCGGACGGGCGAGUAACGCGUGAGCAACCUGCCUUUCAGUGGGGAAUAACGGCCGGAAACGGUCGCUAAUACCGCAUAACAUCUUCGAGUGGCAUCGCUUGAAGAUCAAAGAUUUAUCGCUGAAAGAUGGGCUCGCGUCCGAUUAGAUAGUUGGUGAGGUAAUGGCUCACCAAGUCGACGAUCGGUAGCCGAACUGAGAGGUUGAUCGGCCGCAUUGGGACUGAGACACGGCCCAG
Molecule: ribosomal RNA, 356 nt
Filed under: uncultured bacterium
Lineage: Bacteria
Description: bacterial SSU rRNA
Rfam family: Bacterial small subunit ribosomal RNA
Source: RNAcentral